AUUGAACGCUGGCGGCAGGCCUAACACAUGCAAGUCGAACGGUAACAGGAAGAAGCUUGCUUCUUUGCUGACGAGUGGCGGGCGGGUGAGUAAUGUCUGGGAAACUGCCUGAUGGAGGGGGAUAACUACUGGAAACGGUAGCUAAUACCGCAUAACGUCGCAAGACCAAAGAGGGGGACCUUCGGGCCUCUUGCCAUCGGCUGUGCCCAGAUGGGAUUAGCUAGUAGGUGGGGUAACGGCUCACCUAGGCGACGAUCCCUAGCUGGUCUGAGAGGAUGACCAGCCACACUGGAACUGAGACACGGUCCAGACUCCUACGGGAGGCAGCAGUGGGGAAUAUUGCACAAUGGGCGAAAGCCUGAUGCAGCCAUACCGCGUGUAUGAAGAAGGCCUUCGGGUUGUAAAGUACUUUCAGCGGGGAGGAAGGGAGUAAAGUUAAUACCUUUGCUCAUUGACGUUACCCGCAGAAGAAGCACCGGCUAACUCCGUG
Molecule: ribosomal RNA, 490 nt
Filed under: uncultured bacterium
Lineage: Bacteria
Description: partial 16S ribosomal RNA
Rfam family: Bacterial small subunit ribosomal RNA
Source: RNAcentral